AAAAAAGAAACCCGAAAAAUGACGAAGUUCUGGAUUCUUCUGGCCGCCGCGAGCCUUUCACGUCCUCAGUAGCUUCGCCGCUGGCCGCCAGCUCCGUCGGUGGCCAGUUGGCCACUGCCGGUCUUCCAUCUCCGAUCACGGACGACGCAAGGAGCUCGAACCUAGAUCCUCUCGAUUUCCUCUCUCGUCUGAGCAACAUCGAGAGUUGUGCGAGCAGGCUGGUGGAUUCAUCGGUGCAAAUACUUCUUCGAGAUCGGAGACAGAAGCUCGAGGCCCACGACUGAGUGUUCCGUCCGCCGUUGGCGUCGAACUGCGAAGAGGCUCAUGUCGCCGAGUUCGACAAUCAACUUCGGCUCCAUUUCAAUCGCCGUGGAGCAAGGCCCGUGUAAGUGGGGCUACAUUCUCGAUUGGCUUCUUUUUAGUGGGUACCAUAGUAUUUCACCUAGAGGCCUAGAACAAUGGCACAUGCUUCCGGUAUCAUUUCCAUUGCCUACUGAACAUGCUGGAUUAAGGGCUAUACCUGCAGUACGUGCUCACCAUAUGUCACAGGUCUUCUUCGUCGUUCUCAAUUGCCAGAAAUCAGCCGUGGCUGUCGAUCUCCACCGCACCCACCACGGCGCCAAAACUCCUCUUUUCUGCCCUGUUUUCUGGCUGGGAAGUUUGAAGUAGUUGGUUCUCAUUCAGAACUCCUUUGCAGGCGCUGAUCCUCAUUGCGAACACGUCUAAGGCCUUCAUUCUCCGAUAUGCACACUGGCCGAGGCUAGAAAUCCAAUGAACCAACAGAAUCAAGAUCAGAAGCCAAGUCUGCAAUAUUGAGAAGUCAAUCACAGGAGGUGAAGUCCUCGACAAUUAUAGAUGUGGAUCACCAGAAGGCAGUCAAGAAGCAAAAAGAGCUGAAGAAAUUGAUAACUCAUGGAUAAUGAGUUUCAUCAACGGUGGAGAUCAUACAGAUGUCAAAGACACGGAUUACCAAAGUCUCAAGAUUGCUGCGGAUUACCAAAGUCUCAAGAUUGCUGUUCUGUUUUGCUUAGCUGUAAAGUUUGUUAGCGAAAGUUAGUUAGUUCGUUUUUCUAGUUGUUAGUCCUCUGUUUUCCGCAUAUAUACAGAGAGGUAUUGUAAUCGGUUGACGACUAUGGAGAACAUCUUCUUUUGUUCAGAAAGUUUU
Eucalyptus grandis is the source of this 1165-nucleotide long non-coding RNA. RefSeq lists it as uncharacterized. The transcript has 5 exons. Lineage: Eukaryota; Viridiplantae; Streptophyta; Magnoliopsida; Myrtales; Myrtaceae. The record is from RefSeq and is a predicted model, not a curated record.